Molecule: non-coding RNA, 255 nt
Organism: Cinara cedri
Lineage: Eukaryota; Metazoa; Arthropoda; Insecta; Hemiptera; Aphididae
Source: the annotation of a GenBank genome assembly
AGAACAUCGGCUGUUGAAUCGAGUCGCGCGGAUGUCCUUUGAAAGUUAAUUGCCCGUAAAACGACAUGUUCAAGCGGGGUGUGUGAUAUAAUAACAUUUUCUCGCCCCGCAACCACACCCCGCGCGCAUCAUCAGCUACGUAUUACGCGUUAUGGUCAUUGAAUUUUUUCGCUCUCCCGCUCCCCCGCCCCUUCUUUUAUUAUGAUAAAUACGCCUAUCUGCACAAGCCAGAAACCUGAAAUAACCGUCGAAUCG